CCUUCCAGUUAUAUGAAUACGAUCCUUGAAUAAAAAAAUGCUCUUUAAUGCUAGCGGACAUCAUAAAGACACCCUUCCUCCAUUUUUUCUUAUGAAUUCUAUUUAUGGUAACCCUCAAUCCAUUACGUUAAACUAAAUAUUUAACAAAUUUACAUUACCGUGUUUACUAUAACGCAUCAGUGUCAGGCUCCCAAAAAUUCUGUACUUUCCAGAUUCUUUGAAUACUAUUAUGGACUGGUUAGUUUCAAAAGAGAUUGUAUUAAUUAUUUUCUUAACUUCAAGUAGUACUCGGAAAUCAUUCUUCUCACUAGUUUAUAAAACCACCGAGCACUUAUGCAGAGAGUAAACUAACACAUCCAAUAAUUACAUCCACAUGCUUAAUGCUUUCUUAUUGUACUUAACUUUCUUUUCAUAACAUAAACUUUUUAAAUCACCAAUUACACUUUUAAAAUUCGUCUGAUUACCUGCGCCG
Molecule: non-coding RNA, 472 nt
Organism: Schizosaccharomyces pombe (fission yeast)
Lineage: Eukaryota; Fungi; Ascomycota; Schizosaccharomycetes; Schizosaccharomycetales; Schizosaccharomycetaceae
Source: the annotation of a GenBank genome assembly